Rhipicephalus sanguineus (brown dog tick) is the source of this 123-nucleotide small nucleolar RNA. RefSeq annotates it as small nucleolar RNA SNORA5. Lineage: Eukaryota; Metazoa; Arthropoda; Arachnida; Ixodida; Ixodidae. The record is from RefSeq and is a predicted model, not a curated record. The transcript has a single exon.
UGCAGCAUUGUCAAAUUCGGCCAUGUUGUCAAAUUCCGCCAUUGAUCAACGCUGAUUGGCCCAGAUGGCUGCUACGGCCUCUCUGAUUGGCUUAGAUUGCCGCCAUUAUGAAAUUUGACAAUA